ACAUCGAUGGUGAAACGGUAUCAUGCUUGCCUUCCACGUCGUUACAUAUAUGCUGUAAGCAAGCGGCACGGGUUCGACUCCCGUUCGAUGUA
This 92-nucleotide transfer RNA is filed under the name Pleurotus ostreatus PC15. It matches the Rfam family "tRNA". Rfam says of the family: Transfer RNA (tRNA) molecules are approximately 80 nucleotides in length. Their secondary structure includes four short double-helical elements and three loops (D, anti-codon, and T loops). Further hydrogen bonds mediate the characteristic L-shaped molecular structure. tRNAs have two regions of fundamental functional importance: the anti-codon, which is responsible for specific mRNA codon recognition, and the 3' end, to which the tRNAs corresponding amino acid is attached (by aminoacyl-tRNA synthetases). tRNAs cope with the degeneracy of the genetic code in two manners: having more than one tRNA (with a specific anti-codon) for a particular amino acid; and 'wobble' base-pairing, i.e. permitting non-standard base-pairing at the 3rd anti-codon position. The record is from Rfam by way of RNAcentral. Lineage: Eukaryota; Fungi; Basidiomycota; Agaricomycetes; Agaricales; Pleurotaceae.